Molecule: transfer RNA, 77 nt
Filed under: Cerasicoccus arenae
Lineage: Bacteria; Pseudomonadati; Verrucomicrobiota; Opitutia; Puniceicoccales; Cerasicoccaceae
Also listed under: 2 other names
Description: tRNA-Val
Rfam family: tRNA
About the family: Transfer RNA (tRNA) molecules are approximately 80 nucleotides in length.
Source: RNAcentral
GGGGGUAUAGCUCAGUUGGCUAGAGCGCAUCGUUGACAUCGAUGAGGUCACUGGUUCGAGCCCAGUUACUCCCACCA